AUGUUCAACAUUGAACGCGCUCUUCUCGCGAAGUUAGCUUGGUGAUGCGUUGCACUACUUUUUCUUCACACGCUCUGUUUUCUCUCUCUCUCUCUCUCUCUCUCUCUCUCCCUGAUCGAGAAUAAACCCUAGAUAGAAUGAGAAGAAGGUCCAUACCGGAGCUGGAUUGCCGGUACUGAAGAAUUGGGAGCCGCUGCAGAGAGAUUUGUUGCUGCUGUCUGAAGAAGUCAUGACGGGCAGAGGGCCAUCGGGAAGGACGCCGACGUGGAAGGAAAGGGAGAAUAAUAAGAGGAGGGAGAGGCGUCGGAGGGCCAUUGCUGCUAAGAUCUACACUGGUCUUAGAGCUCAGGGGAACUAUAAGCUUCCUAAACACUGUGACAACAACGAGGUCCUGAAGGCACUCUGUAAUGAGGCUGGUUGGGUGGUUGAAGAAGAUGGCACCACUUAUCGCAAGGGAAGCAAGCCACCUCCGAUUGAUAUUGGCACUUCUGCAAACAUGAGUGCCUGUUCCUCUCUUCAACCAAGCCCACAAUCUUCCUGCUUCCCGAGUCCUGUACCAUCCUACCAUGCCAGUCCUUCCUCGUCCUCUUUUCCAAGCCCAACUCGAUUUGAUGGGAAUCCAUCUUCUUAUCUUCUGCCAUUUCUUCAAAAUAUAUCCUCUAUACCUGCUAAUCUCCCUCCUCUCAGAAUAUCAAACAGUGCACCUGUCACACCACCUCUCUCUUCCCCGACGUCAAGGGGUUCUAAGCGAAAACCAGACUGGGAGUCCAUUCCAAAUAGCUAUGUAACCUCUUUCCGCCAUCCAUUCUUUGCUGUAUCCGCUCCUUCAAGUCCAACAAGAUGCCACCAUCUUACACCGGCUACAAUCCCCGAAUGUGACGAGUCGGACGCUUCAACUGUGGACUCUGGUCGCUGGGUCAGCUUCCAGACUGUGGCACCUUCCGUGGCUCCUCCUUCCCCUACGUUUAAUCUGAUGAAACCAGUUAGUCAGCAAAACUCUCUCCAUGAUGCAGUUGACAGACAUGGAGCAAUGGGCUGGGGUGCUACCUCUGAUAGGGGACGAGGCUCCGAGUUUGAAUUUGAGAAAUUUGAGAGUGGCGCAGUGAAGGCGUGGGAGGGUGAGAGAAUUCAUGAAGUUGGGGUGGACGACUUGGAGCUUACUCUUGGGGGUGGGAAGGCCCGUUGUUAAGCAUCCACACGAAGAUAUUUAUUUCAAGAACUUAAGUGCCUGCUCUUUAAAGAUUAUUGGUUUAUGUUCACAAAAUAUGUUUACUUUCAUUGCUUGGACUUGCACUUCUGCUACCAUUAGAAAGAUCCUGGUUCGCCUUCUUGCAAAACUCUGAACUCGUUACUACAGCUUGUAGUGGAAGAGCAAUCAAAAUUUGAGUCAAGGCCCAGGAAAGGACAUCAUUCGCUACUGGAAAAUGAGAAGAACAAUGCCAUUGUCAUGAACGUGAUAGAAACGAACAACCAACUGUGGGGGAAAAAUUGCUAUGAACAUUGCCCAUUUUCUUCCUGUGGUAGCCUGGUGGGGUGGUGUCCUUCCCUGUUGUGCUCUGUGGGUCAGAUGAGCAAAGAAUCCAAAGGCAGGAGGGGCCGUGGGGCCUCAUAAAUAGGCCACGAGAUGAGUACUCUGUGUUCUUGGCUGGCCAGUGCCAGUGGAUCUUUGCGUGCUGCUCUUUUUUCGCAGAUUGUUUACGUACCGACCAAUUAAUUCAGCAACUGCCUCUCAGAAUGAUCAAUAAUCUGCUUUAUCUAUUUCAACACAGCCGUUUAUAAAGCCCAUCUCCCCAAUAUUGACAUUCUUUUCAGAAGAAAUUCAACAGGGCUACAAAAUUUUGGGCU
RNA transcript from Cucurbita maxima (winter squash), 1845 nucleotides. It is a transcript of the gene named BES1/BZR1 homolog protein 2-like, with no coding region annotated. The transcript is spliced from 4 exons. NCBI's taxonomy places the organism in Eukaryota, Viridiplantae, Streptophyta, Magnoliopsida, Cucurbitales, Cucurbitaceae. The record is from RefSeq and is a predicted model, not a curated record.